UAAAAAACGAAUUUUAUAUAAUUUUAACAUAGAAUUUCUUUUCAUGGUAAUAAAUAAAAAUUAAAAACAAAAUAAAUAAAAUAUAAUAAAAUUAAAAAUAGUAAUAGUUUAAAACCAAUACUAUGAAAAUUGCAUUUGUAAUAAUAAUAUGAUCCAAAAUCUUAACAGAAAAACCAUCCCCUAUAUAGUAAAAGAGAAGUACACUUUUCUUUCAAAAAAAAAAAAACGAAAUUACCAAAAUAACAACAUCCUAACCUUUUCUUUUCAUUGUCAUUAAGGGUAGACAUGUAUUUUAAACAUAAACGGAUCGGGUCAAUUGAACAAUUUAAACCCGAAAUUGAUAAUCGGAUCUUUAUCAAAUGGAUGAACCUAAUUUGACGG
RNAcentral lists this long non-coding RNA (381 nucleotides) under Capsella rubella. RNAcentral's name for it is "long non-coding RNA (CRUB_LNC002626)". Lineage: Eukaryota; Viridiplantae; Streptophyta; Magnoliopsida; Brassicales; Brassicaceae. The record is from RNAcentral.